ACAUGUAAAGCACAUCAGCACUCUCUUAUGACUGUUUAUGCAGUCAUAAGAGCCUUCCAGAUGCUUAAGGAUCAUGGCUGUUUUCCUGUGCUGAGGCAUGAGGGAGACUGAUCAUGUCUCAAAACGGCAUUUAUAAGAAUCCUGGCAGGAAAAGAUGAAAAUUAUGACUCUUCUUUCAACAUUGCCUUCUGUGGCUGAGAUUGAUAAAAUACUUGACAGACCAUCCUCCAAUGCUUCUUCCUGGCCACAGUUUUCCAGCAGAUCCUGGUGUGUGUUACCCAGCGGGAGCUGUGGUGGCAGAUUAGAAGUUCAGUGGACAGGCCAGAGUCACAGUAAUUGCCCAAUAUCACCUCCUGAAGUGUUUUUAAAGACAAGGGAGGAGAAGAGUUGUCAAAAAACUUGAGGUUGGAAUAGACAAACAAAAACAGAUCCCUGGAAAAAGGAAGUUUGCUUCAUUCAUGAGGUUAAAUAAGAUAAAAACAGCGGAGAAGCUGCAAGCUAAUGUUUUCUUUGCGAGCCAAAGAAUGCUUUUCAACUGCUUAGAGAGAGACACAUUUUGUCAGCUCCUAAGAAGAAUUGGUUAAACCGAAGCCCACUAAUAACUGAGGUGAUCUUUCUCAAGGAAAUAAAACAAGCAAGUGAAAAAAAUUCCCCACAAUUCUCUCUUGGUUCUGUCUGAACUUCUUACGUAUCACCAGUGGAAUUACACAAGACUGAGUUACUCAAUUAUAGCCAGUUGCAGCUGUAUAAAUACAGACAGUGAAAAAUUUUAUCUGCGGACCAGUUAUCAUCGAUUACAACAGGAAUAAUAUCAAUAAUUCAGACUCGUAGCAAUAGCUAUCUGAUGAACCUGAUUUACUCCUUCCAUUUCCAGUUCUGUUUCAGGUUAUGAAAUGCCUUCUUUUGAAAUGGAUUUUAAUCCAGAGACACCUUUAUUUGUGUCUGCAAGAGGCUUGAUGGGGUAGCUUUUAUCAGAAGUCCACUUUGCCCAGCAUGGGUUUGUUACUUCCAUUGUAACUGAUGAGCAGAAGAUGCCUGCUCCUGUUUAGGCUGUUUUGCCAAGCUUUUAAGAACUCUUGUGUUUACAUACUUGCUUUAAGGCAGUUAUGGUUUCAGCUAGUGACUUCAGCUUUUGUAUAAAGAUUAUGGUCCAGCAGCAUUGCCAAGUAAUAAGAGUUUCUUCCUGAACAUUUUGCUCAAAUAAGCUUUUUACAGCCAUGGUAAUAGCACUAAUACACCUGCUGAUAUUUGCAUUGCUUUUAUGAAGCCUGGAAAUGAUUGUUUUCCUAGUGUUUUACACAGAACAGUAAUAAGUACUGAAUUCUGCAGUAUAAACAAGGAGGAUUGGUGCUGUUUAUUAUCUCAUCUUACUUUUUAAAGGCUUUUUUGCUAUGCUUAUAUUACUAAAGUGAUGGUUUGCAAUGAUAUGAAUUGCAAGGAUUGCAAUGUACUAUUUAAUCAUCAAAUAUAUUUAGCGCUGAUUCUGUAUGCACACUAGUGCUGUAUAAAAUAAUGAGUGAACCAUAAGCAACAAAAAAACCCUUAGCUGGUUUGAAGUGUUCCUUAUGCACUGGCUGGAGGUAAUGCAAAAGAAUUUUGCCCCAUAAUGCCAACCAAGAAGUGCCAUUUCCAAGCAGCAGCAUGCAAUCAAAAUUCUCUUUGCUAUUUAAAGUAUCACUGACAACCAAGAAAGCCCAGAAGAUAUUAUCUGCCCUUUAAGUGGCUGAAGCCACAGGAUGUGAAUGCCAUGCUAUUUGAAUUUCCUUUGCUUCUAAUUUAGUAUAAGCAGUAUUCAUUUUACCUCAAUCAUUGUUAUAUAUAGAUAUACAAAAAUCAAAAUCUUCCUCUUACCAUGUGGAAUUAGAAAGCACAUGACUCAAAAUGGCUUUGACUUAUAAUUACAGAUAAAUAAUUAAUGACAUGUUUGAAGACCCAUAAGACAAAUUAAAACCACUAGCUAAACUAAUAUGUAAUUAAAUGGUAUUAAAAAUAAAUAGAAAAUAAAAAGUAAGAAAGAAUAAUAGAUGAUUGAAUGAAUCAAGCUAUUAGGGCAAAAUAUUAAAAGAAAAAAAAAUUAAGUUGCUUUUUUUACAUCAAUUUCCCUUCAUUUUUGUACUCUUUUCCUGUCUAAGGUACAGGUUAAAUCACUUCUUCUAACUGCCAAUACAAACCUUCACUUUUUGUAAAUGCCAGGAUACAGAAACUCCAGCUAAGCUUCCUUUUUUCAAUGAACUGUGUAGCU
Molecule: long non-coding RNA, 2242 nt
Organism: Passer domesticus (house sparrow)
Lineage: Eukaryota; Metazoa; Chordata; Aves; Passeriformes; Passeridae
Exons: 6
Source: RefSeq, a predicted model, not a curated record